GCGGGUGUGCUGUCUGGUGCGUG
RNAcentral lists this microRNA (23 nucleotides) under Capitella teleta. Lineage: Eukaryota; Metazoa; Annelida; Polychaeta; Capitellidae. The record is from RNAcentral.